This 105-nucleotide microRNA precursor is filed under the name Nicotiana attenuata. Its description in RNAcentral is "MIR6152 microRNA precursor family". It matches the Rfam family "MIR6152 microRNA precursor family". The record is from Rfam by way of RNAcentral. Lineage: Eukaryota; Viridiplantae; Streptophyta; Magnoliopsida; Solanales; Solanaceae.
UGGACAGAUUAUUAUAUCGACUGUAUUCAACUGUAUUCACAGCGUGAAACAGGGGAUUACACUGUUUUUAAACUGAAAGUGAAUCAAUUAACAUAAUAGACUCCU